RNAcentral lists this long non-coding RNA (1740 nucleotides) under Populus trichocarpa (black cottonwood). Its description in RNAcentral is "long non-coding RNA (PTRI_LNC001173)". The record is from RNAcentral. Lineage: Eukaryota; Viridiplantae; Streptophyta; Magnoliopsida; Malpighiales; Salicaceae.
CUUCAUAUUUUCGUUGAUCCAAUGUUGGGGAUGGAGACAUUAAUGGAUGGAUCCAAAAUACGCAAAUAAUUAAGAAAGAAACAAAAAAAGGUUAUAAAUUAAAAUUGGACUUCUAAAAAGCCCAUUAAAGGCCCAUAUCAAAAUUAAUCUCAAAUAGAAUCCGGGUUACCCGCCUACACAGCCCAGAACCAAACCCAUAUAAAAAACACUAUCCUUGGCUCUAGGGUUUCGAAGUCCCCUUGCAUUCUAUCAAAAGAAGAGAGCUUCCAUCGUCUCUGCAGCAAAAAACAAAAGGGGCUUACAUUUUAGCAACCAUGGUAAUGCCCUUGUCUCCCCGUGUUUUCUCUUUUCAAUAUCUAGAAUUUGAGGUACUGACUGUUUUGAUGCUGUCUUUCACUCUUUUCAGAUUAUCCCAGAGAAGAACAGAAGAGAGAUCUCCAAGUACCUCUUUCAAGGUAAUUUUGUUUUUAUUACCUUUUUUGUUUGCUUUUUAUGAUUUAGAUCCAAUUUUAGUCACCAAGAAAGAAACCCAUGAAAGAUAUUUUGUUAUUUUUCAGGUUUUUGGAUGUCUAGCUCUAGUUGUGGCUUUAGACAACUAGGGUUACAAAUAGUUUCAGUCAGUUUCUUACAGUUUGUGUGAAUUACAAAAAUGAUUUGUGGAUGCAUCUUGUGUGCGUGUGCGUGUGUAUUGGGCUUUUUGGUAAAGCUUGAAGUGAAAACAUUGAGCUCUGCAAUGGUUCUAAAAUGGAUGACAACUUGAUUAAAAAAUAUAAGAUGGACUCUUUUUUUGGGAGUGCUUGUUGUAGGGUACAUCUUGUUUAGUCUUUUGUUCUCCCUGGUCUUAUAGCAUUGACAGUUUAACUAAAACGCAACCAGUAUCUCAUCCUUAAGCUAAUUCUCUCUUUUAGGGUUGAAGGUUUUAAUGGUUUUUGCUAGAGCUUGUGUUAGUGACGUCAAACCAUUGAAAUGGAAAGACAAGUAGAAGCAUUUUGAUCUGUUCCAUGGAGGAUAUAAAAUACACCCCAGCCACUAGUGAUCUGCUGAAAUUAGGGGAAUUUUACUAGAGGGAUUGUUGUUCUGGUUAAGUGAAAACUGCAGCUUUGUUUCUUGCUGUUUUGGUUUUUGUUUGCAAUAGCUGGAAUAUAAAAUUAGACUCUGCUGAGUAUCUUUGUCAAUUUUAUUUGUUGCACCUUUAACUGUUAUGUUUAUUUUGGACAUAAUCAGUUAAUUUGAAUAAUGAAGUUUUCUUAUUUUUUCUAGUUAACUUAAUGGGACCUAAUGAGGUUUAUCUUAACCACAUAUUGUAUGAUAUACCUGCAUGCACUUACCUUGAUUUUCUCUUGAAUCUAUAGAGGGAGUUUGCUAUGCGAAAAAAGAUUUCAACCUUGCAAAGCACCCAGAGAUUGAUGUUCCCAAUCUCCAGGUUAUUAAGCUCAUGCAGAGCUUCAAAUCUAAGGAAUAUGUUCGUGAGACAUUUGCAUGGAUGUACUACUACUGGUAUCUUACCAAUGAUGGGAUUGAGUUUUUGAGGACUUACCUGAAUCUUCCAUCAGAAAUUGUUCCUGCUACCUUGAAGAAACAGGCAAAGCCUGCUGGUGGUCGCCCAUUUGGAGGCCCACCUGGUGACCGUCCCCGGUAAUUUAGACUAUUCUGAAAAUUUACUGAUUGGAGUGUUCUUCUCACCCUUCAUUUUUUCUGAAUAUACUAAUUGAAAUGUGGUGUUUUUUUGGGUUUCUAGAG